GAUGAACGCUGGCGGCGUGCCUAACACAUGCAAGUCGAGCGAUUUACUUCGGUAAAGAGCGGCGGACGGGUGAGUAACGCGUGGGUAACCUGCCCUGUACACACGGAUAACAUACCGAAAGGUAUGCUAAUACGAGAUAAUAUACUUUUAUCGCAUGGUAGAAGUAUCAAAGCUUUUGCGGUACAGGAUGGACCCGCGUCUGAUUAGCUAGUUGGUAAGGUAACGGCUUACCAAGGCAACGAUCAGUAGCCGACCUGAGAGGGUGAUCGGCCACAUUGGAACUGAGACACGGUCCAAACUCCUACGGGAGGCAGCAGUGGGGAAUAUUGCACAAUGGGCGAAAGCCUGAUGCAGCGACGCCGCGUGAGCGAUGAAGGCCUUCGGGUCGUAAAGCUCUGUCCUCAAGGAAGAUAAUGACGGUACUUGAGGAGGAAGCCCCGGCUAACUACGUGCCAGCCGCCGCAGUAA
RNAcentral lists this ribosomal RNA (468 nucleotides) under uncultured bacterium. RNAcentral's name for it is "partial 16S ribosomal RNA". It matches the Rfam family "Bacterial small subunit ribosomal RNA", at positions 28 to 523 of the family's 1533-position model. The record is from RNAcentral.